UUCCAGAGUGAGGAUGCAGGAACAAUUGGUCUAGACGCUACACACAGACGUUCAGCUCCAUCCAGGACCCACAGUCAGCACCAUCCUCAGCAAACAUUGUUCCAGCUCCAGAGGACAGAAUCUUCAAGGGGGGGCUCCAUCUGCCAGGUGCUGCACUUUGGACUGCAUCCCUUCCUCUUCCAACACGGUCCAUGAAGACAUGGAGGACAGAGUCUGUGGGACUGACCUGCACUAGAAAAAACGACACGCCCUGAAGUCCUGUCUGACCAGCCUUUCUCCUUUCUGUGAGGAACACCUUCAGCCUCAUUUGAAAGCAGCUGCAUUGAAGAAACACAAGCUGGUGGGACCCUCCAAGAACCUGCAGGAAAACAUCUGCUCCAGUCAUGAUGAGCUGCUUCAACAGCAGGUGGAGGAGAGUCGGGAGGUCUUCACUUAGAUGAUCCAUCUCAUCCAGAAGAGAAGAGGUGAAGUGAAGAACAGGAUCAGAUUCCAACAGCUAACUGAAGUGAGGCGGGUCAAAGGUCUUCAGAAGGAGCUGGAGCAGGAAAUGACUGAGCUGAUGAGGAGAUGCUGUGAGCGUCAGCAGAGACGGGAUGGCAAAGCA
Oryzias latipes (Japanese medaka) is the source of this 604-nucleotide long non-coding RNA. RefSeq lists it as uncharacterized. The record is from RefSeq and is a predicted model, not a curated record. NCBI's taxonomy places the organism in Eukaryota, Metazoa, Chordata, Actinopteri, Beloniformes, Adrianichthyidae.